Molecule: ribosomal RNA, 192 nt
Filed under: uncultured bacterium
Lineage: Bacteria
Description: partial 16S ribosomal RNA
Rfam family: Bacterial small subunit ribosomal RNA
Source: RNAcentral
AACCCAACUACAUGAAGCUGGAAUCGCUAGUAAUCGCGGAUCAGAAUGCCGCGGUGAAUACGUUCCCGGGUCUUGUACACACCGCCCGUCACACCAUGGGAGCCGGGAAUGCCCGAAGUCGGUGACCUAACCGAAAGGAAGGAGCCGCCGAAGGCAGGUCUGGUAACUGGGGUGAAGUCGUAACAAGGUACC